This 483-nucleotide long non-coding RNA is filed under the name Lonchura striata (white-rumped munia). RNAcentral describes it as "domestica (Bengalese finch) lncRNA (ENSLSDG00000017345.1)". The record is from RNAcentral. Lineage: Eukaryota; Metazoa; Chordata; Aves; Passeriformes; Estrildidae.
GGGACAGGGACGGUGCCACCGAGGGGACAGGGACGGUGCCACCGAGGGGACAGGGACAGUGACACCGAGGGGACAGGGACGGUGACACCGAGGGGACAGGGACGGGACAGGGAUGGUGACACCGAGGGGACACGGCUGGGACAGGGAUGGUGCCACCGCGGGGACAGGGAUGGUGCCACCGAGGGGACAGGGACGGGACAGGGACGGUGCCACCGAGGGGACAGGGACGGUGCCACCGGGCCAGCGGGAGCGGGGCGCUGCCGGGCCGGGAUCGGCUGCCCUCGGUCCGGCGGGCGCAGAGCCCGGCCGGGCUGUGCUCACUGAGGGACGCACAAAAUCCCAAAUCCCGGCCCUGAUCCUUCAGCUUCCAAAAAUAUCCUUCGGCGGGGCUGGGCAGGGACCGGGCACGGACCGGGCAGGGGCUGGGCAGGGACCGGGCACAGACCGGGCAGGGGCUGGGCAGGGACCGGGCACAGACCGGGC